Pelobates cultripes (western spadefoot toad) is the source of this 77-nucleotide non-coding RNA. The record is from the annotation of a GenBank genome assembly. NCBI's taxonomy places the organism in Eukaryota, Metazoa, Chordata, Amphibia, Anura, Pelobatidae.
AAAACAAAGAGAACGUUACCUGCGCUCUGGCCUAAAUCCCCAUUAUUUAGAGCGCAGGUAACGUUCUCUUUGUUUUU